CCUACGGGUGGCAGCAGUGGGGAAUAUUGGACAAUGGGGGCAACCCUGAUCCAGCCAUGCCGCGUGUGUGAAGAAGGCCCUCGGGUUGUAAAGCACUUUCAGUGAGGAAGAACGCCUGGUGGUUAAUACCCAUCAGGAAAGACAUCACUCACAGAAGAAGCACCGGCUAACUCCGUGCCAGCAGCCGCGGUAAUACGGAGGGUGCGAGCGUUAAUCGGAAUUACUGUGCGUAAAGCGCGCGUAGGUGGCUUGAUAAGCCGGUUGUGAAAGCCCCGGGCUCAACCUGGGAACGGCAUCCGGAACUGUCAAGCUAGAGUGCAGGAGAGGAAGGUAGAAUUCCCGGUGUAGCGGUGAAAUGCGUAGAGAUCGGGAGGAAUACCAGUGGCGAAGGCGGCCUUCUGGACUGACACUGACACUGAGGUGCGAAAGCGUGGGUAGCAAACAGGAUUAGAUACCCUGGUAGUC
This 465-nucleotide ribosomal RNA is filed under the name Vreelandella stevensii. RNAcentral describes it as "partial 16S ribosomal RNA". It matches the Rfam family "Bacterial small subunit ribosomal RNA", at positions 338 to 795 of the family's 1533-position model. The record is from RNAcentral. Lineage: Bacteria; Pseudomonadati; Pseudomonadota; Gammaproteobacteria; Oceanospirillales; Halomonadaceae.